Molecule: ribosomal RNA, 467 nt
Filed under: uncultured Gammaproteobacteria bacterium
Lineage: Bacteria; Pseudomonadati; Pseudomonadota; Gammaproteobacteria
Description: bacterial SSU rRNA
Rfam family: Bacterial small subunit ribosomal RNA
Source: RNAcentral
GGUGGAGCAUGUGGUUUAAUUCGAUGCAACGCGAAGAACCUUACCUGGUCUUGACAUCCUGAGAACUUUCUAGAAAUAGAUUGGUGCCUUCGGGAACUCAGUGACAGGUGCUGCAUGGCUGUCGUCAGCUCGUGUCGUGAGAUGUUGGGUUAAGUCCCGUAACGAGCGCAACCCCUAUCCUUAUUUGCCAGCACAUCAUGGUGGGAACUAUAAGGAGACUGCCGGUGAUAAACCGGAGGAAGGCGGGGACGACGUCAAGUCAUCAUGGCCCUUACGACCAGGGCUACACACGUGCUACAAUGGGAAGGACAAAGAGCCGCGAAGCCGCGAGGUGUAGCUAAUCUCAGAAACCUUUUCGUAGUCCGGAUUGGAGUCUGCAACUCGACUCCAUGAAGUCGGAAUCGCUAGUAAUCGUAGAUCAGAAUGCUACGGUGAAUACGUUCCCGGGUCUUGUACACACCGCCCGU